AACGAACGCUGGCGGCAUGCCUAACACAUGCAAGUCGAACGAAGGCUUCGGCCUUAGUGGCGCACGGGUGCGUAACGCGUGGGAAUCUGCCCUUGGGUUCGGAAUAACAGUGAGAAAUUACUGCUAAUACCGGAUGAUGACUUCGGUCCAAAGAUUUAUCGCCCAAGGAUGAGCCCGCGUAAGAUUAGCUAGUUGGUGAGGUAAAGGCUCACCAAGGCGACGAUCUUUAGCUGGUCUGAGAGGAUGAUCAGCCACACUGGGACUGAGACACGGCCCAG
This 278-nucleotide ribosomal RNA is filed under the name uncultured bacterium. Its description in RNAcentral is "partial 16S ribosomal RNA". It matches the Rfam family "Bacterial small subunit ribosomal RNA", at positions 29 to 334 of the family's 1533-position model. The record is from RNAcentral.